CCGUAGCCCAUCAGAGGGGGAUAACAUCCGGAAACGGAUGCUAAAACCGCAUAGGUCUUCGAGCCGCAUGGCUUGAAGAGGAAAAGAGGCGCAAGCUUCUGCUGAUGGAUGGACCCGCGGUGCAUUAGCUAGUUGGUGAGGUAACGGCUCACCAAGGCCGUGAUGCAUAGCCGACCUGAGAGGGUGAUCGGCCACAUUGGGACUGAGACACGGCCCAA
This 218-nucleotide ribosomal RNA is filed under the name uncultured bacterium. RNAcentral describes it as "partial 16S ribosomal RNA". It matches the Rfam family "Bacterial small subunit ribosomal RNA", at positions 125 to 334 of the family's 1533-position model. The record is from RNAcentral.